GUGGGGAAUAUUGGACAAUGGGCGAAAGCCUGAUCCAGCCAUGCCGCGUGAGUGAUGAAGGCCUUAGGGUUGUAAAGCUCUUUCAGUAGGGAAGAUAAUGACGGUACCUACAGAAGAAGCCCCGGCUAACUUCGUGCCAGCAGCCGCGGUAAUACGCAGGGGGCUAGCGUUGUUCGGAUUUACUGGGCGUAAAGCGCACGUAGGCGGAUUGGUCAGUUAGAGGUGAAAUCCUGGAGCUCAACUCCAGAACUGCCUUUAAUACUGCCAGUCUAGAGUCCAGAAGAGGUGAGUGGAACUCCUAGUGUAGAGGUGGAAUUCGUAGAUAUUAGGAAGAACACCCGUGGCGAAGGCGGCUCACUGGUCUGGUACUGACGCUGAGGUGCGAAAGCGUGGGGAGCAAACAGGAUUAGAAACCCUUGUAGUCC
RNAcentral lists this ribosomal RNA (425 nucleotides) under uncultured bacterium. RNAcentral's name for it is "partial 16S ribosomal RNA". It matches the Rfam family "Bacterial small subunit ribosomal RNA", at positions 354 to 796 of the family's 1533-position model. The record is from RNAcentral.